AAAGUGACAAAAUAGCAAUAUUUUCAAGAAACAACUUUUUAAAUUCUAAUUUAAUAGAAGUCAAGUUAUGGUCUGAGAGAUAACUUAAAAAUGGAAAGUUAUUUAGAAACAAGAUAAAAGGCAAAACACCAAACUUCAUACAAACUUAAAUGUUUGACAUUUAAAAAUUAAAGAGAUUUUUUUUUUAAGUGUAUUUGAGACAAAUAAGCCAACCUUGGUACAUAACCGCUGAAAACUAAAAAACCGUACCCUAAACCAACACAGGUGGAUAGGUCGAGUAGACUAAGGUGUAUGAGAUAAUUAUGUUGAAGGAACUCGGCAAAAUGACUCUGUAACUUCGGGAGAAAGAGUACCUUUUUAUUUAAAUGUUUAUCGACGAAAUAAUAAGAAG
RNAcentral lists this ribosomal RNA (391 nucleotides) under Aphanomyces astaci. RNAcentral's name for it is "partial large subunit ribosomal RNA". The record is from RNAcentral. Lineage: Eukaryota; Oomycota; Saprolegniomycetes; Saprolegniales; Verrucalvaceae.